AUGAAAGUUCCAGGGAUAAUGAUCGGGAGUUGGGAUUGAGUGGCUUCCAUCAAGAUCAGCAAAACUGAAAGAAGGGAGCAGAGAGAGAAGAGAAAUAGAAGGGACGAAAGGGGAAGAUAUGUGAGCCGUGGAAAGAAGAGAGAAGAAAGAAAAGACCAUCAAGAUCAACAAAAGCGAAAGAAAAGAGCAGAGAGAAAAGAGGAAUAGAAGAGACGAAAGCAGAAGAUCUAUCCCUUUGUUUUCUACUUUGACAUCUGGGUAGCCAACUGCAACAGUUUCAAGCUGUGGUCCUUGCAACAGUGAGAAUUUGGUAAGCUUCCAGCUAAGUAAGAUCAACGUCAAUAUCAUUGUUAUCCAUCUUUUGCUCAUAUACCCAAAGGGAUUUCGUUUAACUUUAGCUAUAUUAUUAUCUUCUUGACAGCGAUUGAUCCCAAAUUCAUGUUGUUCGUUUUCUAGGUUUGUAAAAGUCCAAGCAGGCAAGCACUAAGAUACAGAAGACAACAGGACAAAUCAAUCUUUGUUUCUUUUGGAAAAGUUAGAUAUUACGAGUUUGAUUGAUAACAUUGAUUAUAACAAAUUGAAUGUCCUUGCCUUGAUAGAACUUAAUUUCCGAGCUCUUACUAUGUCUAAAAACAAAGCUUCUGUUGUCUCUUUCUUUCCUUAAUUAAAAGUUUAGGGUAAG
Molecule: long non-coding RNA, 682 nt
Filed under: Rosa chinensis
Lineage: Eukaryota; Viridiplantae; Streptophyta; Magnoliopsida; Rosales; Rosaceae
Description: sRNA RchiOBHm_Chr1g0367591
Source: RNAcentral